Long non-coding RNA from Balaenoptera ricei (Rice's whale), 2751 nucleotides. RefSeq lists it as uncharacterized. Lineage: Eukaryota; Metazoa; Chordata; Mammalia; Artiodactyla; Balaenopteridae. The transcript is spliced from 7 exons. The record is from RefSeq and is a predicted model, not a curated record.
CAGGACUGAGAGCUUAGAUUUGGAGGCUUUUCCCAGAAGCUAAAGCGACAGUCCUGUGGUCAGCCAGAAAACCAGAUGGAGCAGAGAUGCUGAGAGACCAGGAAGAGGUUACAUCUGGGGUAUCUCCUGGUUAGCUGAACUCCCUAGGUGGGAAAGGAGGAACUGAGGGCAAACUUCAACCAGCCUUAUGGAGUCUGAGCUGUUCACCAAGAACCUGUGCCCAGCCCCUUCUCCUGCGAAGAUAUGGACCAACCCAGUGCUGAGUGGGAAAGAAGAGUAGGGUGGAGACGAGGUCCAGGUCAUCCGACGGGCUGUGCAGACGGGCCACCAGCAGCUGCAGGAGCACCUCCCCCUGCCCUGAGCCAAGGCUGCAGGGACGGCCACGGCCACGAGAGGGCGGCAGAGGGUCCAGGCGGAAGGUGAGGCGCGGGCACCUCACCUCGUACUCCAGGUACUCCUUCCGCAAGCGGUAGUCCUCCAGCUCUCGGCCGCGGCCCCGCCGCUCCGGGCACACGGGCUCAGAAGAGAGGUCUGCAUCAGUUGCUCGUCCCCCCGUGCUGCCCGUCGCGGGUGCAGACUCCCUCCCUACCUUCAGGAAGUAGAGGACCAUCCCACGCAGGACGGUGUGGAGCACCUUCCAGCCGCGCUUGCCCCACGGCGCUGCCCCAGGAGCAGAACACAAAGGUGUUCCCUGGCCACUGCACCCUCUUCUGAGACUGGCCCGCUGCCCCGCCUCCGGCUCCACCCACGCAGAGGGGAGCACUGUCCAGGGGCCCGAGUUCUCCAACUCAGGUAAGCGGCCACUUCGGACUUCCGGAAGCCCUCCAGGCGAUAGAGGCGGGAGGCCAAGUUCCAGGCCACCUUGUCGGUCCUGACGCCAUUCGCCAGCUUGUCUCCAGCUGGGGGCCUUUGGCCUUCCUCUGGGGGCUGCGCUUCGGGCACGGGGCUCUCAGGAGGGCUGCGAAAGUCCAUCGGUGACCUCAGACUCCCGCUUGGGAUGGAUACAAAGGGGCUCUGGGUCAAGCGUCCUUGGGGUCAGUCGUAGGGGCGGGUGUGCCCAGAGUCCACGCCCAGAGCUCAGGGCAGGAGCUGGAGCUCCAGGGCCUCGUGUGGCCGGGGAAGAGCCGGACCAGGGCCUCCCCCGGGGAAUAGGCAGGGUCACAGCCUGCCUGGCCUGACCUGGGCACCAGGAGGACCCAGAGAGGGCAGUAUUCACACAAAGCUAGCAAGGGCUGGAGCCGAGCUUGGUACCAGCACUUCCUCAGGUGGCAGGUGCAGCCCUUUGAAGACCCCAGUGGUGUUUAGUCCGUCCCAAGGAGGGGUGGGAAUACCUCCCCAAAUGUCAGCAGCCACCUGUGCCCCUCACCUGUCCUGCCCUCCCCAUCAUGCCUCCUUGCCCCCCUUCCCCUCCCCCAGCUCCAGCCUCCAGCCUCCACUCCUAGAUCUGGAGCCAAGGAAGGUGCAAGGGUGAAGCAAGAACAGAAAGCGAGACCGGCUUUAGGAAUGUUGACAGCUGGGAUUGCCACAGGUGGUUUCCAACCCCUGCCUUCCCGUAUCGGCAGCCCUGUGGUAGAGAAGGGGGCCUUCCAGCAGGGGCUUUGGAUGGUGCCCUACAGAGGGUACACAGGCCCCAGCAACCCUCACGGUAGACUCAGAGGACACUCAGAAUCUCAGGGGUCACCCGGCCCAAUCUCUCCCUGACUCUUGCGUUUUCCCUGCAACAUUGCAACCAGGUAUUGGGGUAUCCUCGUUAGUGGAAUGGUCAUCAUCCAGGUUACUGCAGUCAGGGAUUGUACAGAUAAGCAAAACUUAUCACAGUAUGAAAAUGUUCACCGACAGACUACCCACUUAUAAAAUUCGGCUGCACUUGACAGCCCUUUCCACUUAACACAAAUGUAUAUCUCUGCCCCCAACUGGGUCAGCGUCUUUGCUGGUAACUUCUCACUGCUUCCUGAGGUUCAUCCACAUCCAACAAGGCAGGGCAAACGUAACGGAAGCCAACUGAAAAGUGAAAUUACAAAUCUUGCCAAAAAGGAUUUUAUGAAGGCCAUGAAAGUGAUGCUGGAAGAUUCCAGGGAUCACCUGGGAAGCCACUGACAAGUGAGGAACGGGAAGAGUUAGUCCAGUGAACAACUGAAGAGGAGAAAAUAACAAUAAUGACAUGCUUGUCACAUCUAAAGAGAGCUACUGAAGAUUAUCAGCUGACAAAGCCCUCAAAUACUUUUACAAAAAUGACCUAGUCAGUGAGUGUUGUUACUAAAAUAAUAUCUAGAUGGGAAGGCACUUUGAGGAAAAAAACCCUACAGGGCAAAUAUAAAUUGUUAUGGAAUUGUAUACUUUAAAUGGAUGGAUUGUAUAGUAUGUGAAUUAUAUCUUAAUAAAGCUGAUAUUAAAUAAAAUAAAAUAAAAAUAAAAUAAAAUAAAAUAGGACUUCCCUGGUGGUCCAGUGGUUAAGACUCCGCACUUCCACUGCAGGCGGCAUAGGUUCGAUCCCUGGUUGGGGAAGUUCCACAUGCCACCUCAGGGCAGCCAAAAAUAAAAAAAUAAAAUAAAAUGAUAAAUUAAAUAGACCCUUAUGACCUCACUGUGAAAGUUAAGGAUGAAUGAAAGACAUCUCAUUGGGCCACCAAAUUAGGCCAGGAAAAUUAAUCUCCUAUAGCGUAUUAAAUAUAAGAUUAAAUAAAUUUACUUAUGUAAUAUUUAGUGUCAUUUACCAAGAAAAGCAUCAAUUAAACCUUUUUUCAUUAUUUA